GAAGUUCCAGGAUGAAGGAUUACAAGAGGUUUGUAAGAAAACUCCAGGGGUACAGUGGUUCAGAAAUGGACAUAACAGCCUAGAGGAAGACCUGGGAGAAGCCCUUGAAUAACCAUUGGUCCAUUGUGCAUCUAGGGUCCUUAACAAAAAGAUAAAAGACAAGUGUAUAAUAUGUUGGAAAAAAAAUUUCCCAUUCCCACACAGUCUAAUGAGAAAAUAUCAGACAAUCCAAAUUGAGGAGCAUUCUACAAAAUGUCCAGUACUCUUCAAAAGUGUCAAGAUCCCCCAAAACAAGACAAGACUAAACAAGACAAGACUAAAAAACUGUCAUAGAUCAGAGAAGAAUGGAGAGACCUGGUGACUAAAUGCUUUGGGCUAUCCUGGAUUGGAUUCUAGAAUAGCAAAUAAGCAACUUUCAGUAAAUACUUUUGUAAUUGCCCAUGAGUUGUCAAGCACUCAUGAGAUGAAGUUCCAACUCUACAGAUGAAAGCCCUGUUUUUGAAUCAAGCACUUCAUGAGUAAGGAUUUCACAAAGCUGCAAAAUCUGCUCUUGAGAACCCCUGACAACUAAAUAUUCCAUGGCUUCCACUGAUAAUCAUGCUGCUUGUCAUAUACCAGGAGGUAUCAACAAUCACCAAGCUCUCGUGCAUUAACUACCUGUUUCACCUCCAUUGAGGAUAUGUCUCAGGUCAAUAAUUGGAUCUAUGAAACCUGGCUGUGAUAAAUACCAAGGAAUUCUAUGCCAGUUCACAGCAGUAAGAGUGCAGAAGUGCCAGCAUGAUUCUUGAGGCUUAAGACAAGUGAAAGAAUGACCAGAGAUGAUAUCAAUCAUCAGUUCUUCAAACCUUU
Molecule: long non-coding RNA, 849 nt
Filed under: Homo sapiens (human)
Lineage: Eukaryota; Metazoa; Chordata; Mammalia; Primates; Hominidae
Description: HSALNT0375849
Source: RNAcentral